CACCUCUCCGGGUGGCACCUGGAGAGUUUCCAGUACUCUACCAGUCUUUAAACUAUGGGGGGAAGAGUCUAGCAGAGGCAUACUCAUUCCAUUCCUAGCUUGGGCAGUGUCUAGCGAGUGGAAGACAAUCUGCUACAAGU
Tachyglossus aculeatus (Australian echidna) is the source of this 140-nucleotide small nucleolar RNA. The record is from RefSeq and is a predicted model, not a curated record. NCBI's taxonomy places the organism in Eukaryota, Metazoa, Chordata, Mammalia, Monotremata, Tachyglossidae.